This 543-nucleotide ribosomal RNA is filed under the name uncultured bacterium. Its description in RNAcentral is "bacterial SSU rRNA". It matches the Rfam family "Bacterial small subunit ribosomal RNA", at positions 777 to 1317 of the family's 1533-position model. The record is from RNAcentral.
AAUAGAUACCCCGGUAGUCCACGCCCUAAACGAUGCGAACUGGAUGUUGGGUUCAACUUGGAACCCAGUAUCGAAGCUAACGCGUUAAGUUCGCCGCCUGGGGAGUACGGUCGCAAGACUGAAACUCAAAGGAAUUGACGGGGGCCCGCACAAGCGGUGGAGUAUGUGGUUUAAUUCGAUGCAACGCGAAGAACCUUACCUGGUCUUGACAUCCACGGAACUUUCCAGAGAUGGAUUGGUGCCUUCGGGAACCGUGAGACAGGUGCUGCAUGGCUGUCGUCAGCUCGUGUCGUGAGGUGUUGGGUUAAGUCCCGCAACGAGCGCAACCCUUGUCCUUAGUUGCCAGCACGUAAUGGUGGGAACUCUAAGGAGACCGCCGGUGACAAACCGGAGGAAGGUGGGGAUGACGUCAAGUCAUCAUGGCCCUUACGACCAGGGCUACACACGUACUACAAUGGUGGGGACAGAGGGCUGCAAUCCCGCGAGGGUGAGCCAAGUCCCAGAAACCCCAUCUCAGUCCGGAUCGGAGUCUGCAACUCGACU